GUGCUAAGGUAGCAUAAUCAUUUGUCUUUUAAUUGAGGGCUUGUAUGAAAGGUUGGAUGAAGCAAUCACUUUCUUUAAUUUAAUUUAUGAAUUUAAUUUUUUAGUCAAAAAGCUAAAAUAUUUUUAUUGGACGAGAAGACCCUAUAGAUCUUUACAGGCUAUUAAAUUUGAUAAUUUAGGGAAUUACUUAUUUUUAUUUAAAAUCUUGUUUGAUUGGGGUGAUUGUAGAAUUUUAUAAACUUCUAUUGUUUGAUUUUCAAAAAUUAUUGUUUAAUUGAUCCAUAAUAUGAUGAUUAGAAGAUUAAG
RNAcentral lists this ribosomal RNA (306 nucleotides) under Rhodnius stali. Its description in RNAcentral is "partial 16S ribosomal RNA". Lineage: Eukaryota; Metazoa; Arthropoda; Insecta; Hemiptera; Reduviidae. The record is from RNAcentral.